RNAcentral lists this ribosomal RNA (497 nucleotides) under uncultured bacterium. Its description in RNAcentral is "partial 16S ribosomal RNA". It matches the Rfam family "Bacterial small subunit ribosomal RNA", at positions 28 to 507 of the family's 1533-position model. The record is from RNAcentral.
GAUGAACGCUGGCGGCGUGCCUAAUACAUGCAAGUCGAGCGAACAGACGAGGCGCUUGCUCCUUUGACGUUAGCGGCAGACGGGUGAGUAACACGUAGAAAACCUACCUGUCUGACUGGUAUAACUUCGGGACACCGGCGCUAAUCCCGGAUAAUAUUUCGCACCGCAGGGUUCGAUAGUGAAAGAUGGCUUUGCUGUCACUUAUAGAUGGACCUGCGCCGUAUUAGCUAGUUGGUAAGGUAACGGCUUACCACGGCAACGAUACGUAGCCGAACGGAGAGGGUGAUCGGCCGCACGGGAACGGGGACACGGACCAGACGCCUACGAGAGGCAGCAGUAGGGAAUCUGCCGCAAUAGGCGAAAGCCUGACGGAGCAACGGCGCGUGAGUGAUGAAGGUGUUCGGAUCGUGAAACUCUGUUAUUAGGGAAGAACAAACGUGUCAGUAACUGUGCGCGGCUUGACGGUACCGAAUCAGAAAGCAACGGCUAACUACGUG